GUGACUGCGUACCUUUUGUAUAAUGGGUCAGCGACUUAUAUUUAGUAGCAAGGUUAACCGAAUAGGGGAGCCGUAGCGAAAGCGAGUGUUAACUGCGCGUUUAGUUGCUAGGUAUAGACCCGAAACCGAGUGAUCUAGCCAUGGGCAGGUUGAAGGUUGAGUAACAUCAACUGGAGGACCGAACCGACUAACUUUGAAAAGUUAGCGGAUGACUUGUGGCUGGGGGUGAAAGGCCAAUCAAACCGGGAGAUAGCUGGUUCUCCCCGAAAGCUAUUUAGGUAGCGCCUCGGACGAAUACCACAGGGGGUAGAGCACUGUUUCGGCUAGGGGGUCAUCCCGACUUACCAACCC
This 351-nucleotide ribosomal RNA is filed under the name Pseudopedinella elastica. RNAcentral's name for it is "partial Bacterial large subunit ribosomal RNA". It matches the Rfam family "Bacterial large subunit ribosomal RNA", at positions 593 to 945 of the family's 2925-position model. The record is from RNAcentral. Lineage: Eukaryota; Dictyochophyceae; Pedinellales.